This 566-nucleotide unclassified non-coding RNA is filed under the name Hevea brasiliensis (rubber tree). Lineage: Eukaryota; Viridiplantae; Streptophyta; Magnoliopsida; Malpighiales; Euphorbiaceae. The record is from RNAcentral.
AUAUGGAAUGAUUAAGAAAAAUAUUUUUCAGGCUCUUCCCAGAAUGUGAAGAUGCUGAGAAUGAGAGUGGAAAAUGUCCAAAGGAAAUCUUAGUAACAGGUUUAUUUGAUUGAGAAUCCCAUUGCGAUAGCUGAGAAUCUAUUUGAGUUAAUAGUUGGUCAGUAGGAUGCUCAGAAAGAUUAGUUGGGCCCCGUAAACCAACAGGCAUCGUAGUGUCCAACCCAACAAAAAGAUGUUUGCGCUCACCAGUCUGGAAGACAGCAUAUCAAGGGACAAAGUUGAGAGAGAGAGUAAAUGAAGUUUUAUGCUUACCAUUGAGCGAAAGGACAAAACUGCAUUUCUACGCAUAGUUUCAUAAUAUUGAAGUUCAAUGAUGUGCAAAAAGUCAGUGUAGUGUUUGAAAGUUCAUUUGAUAGAAGGUUUCCCAAAGUGGAUAUAAAUGCCUGAUAGAAAUGAGAUCACUCAAUGACUUAAAUGAUGCUCUUAAUUCAUUCCAUUGGUUAGACAAACAUAACAAAGUGAAAAGCUAAAGAAAGAAAAAAAUAGUUGCACAAUGGUGACCUAAA